Long non-coding RNA from Crotalus tigris (Tiger rattlesnake), 1541 nucleotides. RefSeq lists it as uncharacterized. The transcript is spliced from 2 exons. The record is from RefSeq and is a predicted model, not a curated record. NCBI's taxonomy places the organism in Eukaryota, Metazoa, Chordata, Lepidosauria, Squamata, Viperidae.
AUGGAACUCGCCCACAUUCCAUGGUGAUUUGGGGUCAAUCACUCUGUCUCUCAGCCUUGGAGAUUGUUAUUGUGAAUAAAAUGAAAGGGAAUUUUAUAGACACCACCUUGAGCUCCCCAAAUAAUGAUGAAAUGGAAAUAUAUGAGCAGCAGUAGCAAUCCUAUGGCCUCUGGUUGUAAACUCUUGCUUUAAACUGAAGAAAUCUGAUGAUAAACCAAGUAACAUACAGCCACUGUAUUACAAUAAAAUACUUGUGUCUUCCGUGGAAUCUCACAGGGCAGGAUCAGGGACAGUAAAAACAGAACAUUGCUAGCAGAUUUAACACAUGCCUACUGAGAACAAAUACUCCAGAGUAGCUGAGAUGAUUAAUAGCAGUGUUUCCAAAAAUAAAUGUUCAGACUUCUCAUACUUGACUAAAUGAAUACAUCUUCUCAGAGACAUGCUACCGAGCAAAUAUGUCAAGAAUGUGAAAUUCUUAGCAUUUAUAAACUUUUAGAGAAUGUUCUGUUUUUCCCUUCAAGACUGACUAUAAAAACAUAAGUAUAAGUUAUAUGCCAUCGCCUUCAAUACUUCAAUAACUACUAUUCUACACUCUUUAACUUGUUUCUCUAGUGUUUAACUCUGUUAGUUCAUCUAGCAGCCUUUUUAUAAGUACAAUUUCCUCAGUUUCCUUUGUAGGUACCCAUUACAUGUUUUUUUAGGAAGCUGGGUGGGAAUCUCAUUUUUCUUCUAGGGUUGUGCUAAAAAGAAAGUUAUGUUUCUGUUUUUAUUUUAUUUAUAACAUUCCUCAUUUGUAAAGCAGUGGAGUUUGUUUUUCUGCCCUGUUUUUUUUUUUCCUUCACCCUUACAUUGAACCACCAGUGUGUUGCCAAGGAGUAAUGCACACAGAGGAGCUAAAGAAUGAGAAAAAUUCUUCUCAGCCAGGUGCUAGACAAAUCACCUAUCUGCUUUCCCAGAAACAAGUCCUGGCACUUCUGCAGUAACUGUCUACAGGACAAAUGUUUUUUGUAACGGUGGUCCUAUCUUCUGCAAAAAUAGAAGAUGCAGUGGUGGAAAAGCUUACCAUCUCUAUGGCAACUGUGACUCUGUUGCUACUUUUCUUUUCCCUGUGUGAUCAUUCACAAAGUAGGCCUUUGCCUAGCAGCCAUGGGGAAAUCACUCCCUGAAGAAAUCAGCAUGACACAACAAAACAUGAUCUGCAUCUGCAAAGAGCUUUUUAGAACCUUACAGCUCCUUAUUAUUUUUCAUUAUUUAUCAUGUAAUCUAGUUUUGGCAACUCAUGGUAUAUCUCUCAUCUUUUGGGGGGGAUUUAUGGUCCUCAGAAAAAGAAUAGAACAAUGUUUGUGUGUGUGAAUGUGUGCACGUGACUAUCUGAAUGUGCACAUGCUAGGCAAAGUUUCUUAUGCUUAUAGCAAUCAACUACCUGCCUGUAAAAAGAUAAUACUACCAUUUUUAAAUAAUUAUUAGUAUUUUAUGAAUGAAUGUUUUAUAGGAAAUGGAGAAUAUUGAACAUUCUCAAUAAAAGAGAGAUAAGGUUGAUA